Molecule: ribosomal RNA, 569 nt
Filed under: uncultured Bacteroidales bacterium
Lineage: Bacteria; Pseudomonadati; Bacteroidota; Bacteroidia; Bacteroidales
Description: bacterial SSU rRNA
Rfam family: Bacterial small subunit ribosomal RNA
Source: RNAcentral
CUUGCACUGAAUGGACGUCGACCGGCGCACGGGUGAGUAACGCGUAUCCAACCUUCCCGUUACUGCGGGAUAACCUGCCGAAAGGCAGACUAAUACCGCAUGUUCUUCGAUGACGGCAUCAGAUUCGAAGCAAAGACUCGUCGGUAACGGAGGGGGAUGCGUCUGAUUAGCUAGUUGGCGGGGCGACGGCCCACCAAGGCGACGAUCAGUAGGGGUUCUGAGAGGAAGGUCCCCCACAUUGGAACUGAGACACGGUCCAAACUCCUACGGGAGGCAGCAGUGAGGAAUAUUGGUCAAUGGGCGGAAGCCUGAACCAGCCAAGUAGCGUGCAGGACGACGGUCCUACGGGUUGUAAACUGCUUUUAUGCGGGGAUAAAGUGAGGGACGUGUCCCUUUUUGCAGGUACCGCAUGAAUAAGGACCGGCUAAUUCCGUGCCAGCAGCCGCGGUAAUACGGAAGGUCCGGGCGUUAUCCGGAUUUAUUGGGUUUAAAGGGAGCGUAGGCCGGGGAUUAAGUGUGUUGUGAAAUGUAGGCGCCCAACGUCUGACUUGCAGCGCAUACUGGUUCCC